CUUAACCCUAAAAUACACAGGUGUAACACCACCGUUCCUCCACUGUCUACCUCCGGUCGGAAAUCGCCGCCGCUGCUGGCCAAUCUCCAAUCGACUCCAAAUUAACACCAGUUGCUCCCCUUGACCUCCUCUUUCCAUUUUUGUAACCCAUAUCCCUCAAAAACUGGCCAAAGUCUUUAAAUAAUCAUUUGAAGGAGCGGAUGUUCCGCCGUCCACGACAGCUGUUCCACCGUCCACGGCGGCGCCGGCUCCAAUAGCCACCAAAAUUACACCACAGCACCUCCUCAUCUCCUUCUCCAUAAAUCCAUAACCUAUAACCCUCAAAUGUUACUGGAUCUUAUCGAAUAUCAAGUCAAAGACUCCGGUCAAAAACCAAAUCCCUCCAAAUCCAACCAAACUCACACCCUGUUCUGUUCUCAC
RNAcentral lists this long non-coding RNA (420 nucleotides) under Nicotiana benthamiana. Its description in RNAcentral is "long non-coding RNA (NBEN_LNC008157)". Lineage: Eukaryota; Viridiplantae; Streptophyta; Magnoliopsida; Solanales; Solanaceae. The record is from RNAcentral.